GAUGAACGCUGGUGGCGUGCCUAAUACAUGCAAGUCGAGCGAACGGACGAGAAGCUUGCUUCUCUGAUGUUAGCGGCGGACGGGUGAGUAACACGUGGAUAACCUACCUAUAAGACUGGGAUAACUUCGGGAAACCGUAGCUAAUACCGGAUAGUAUUUUGAACCGCAUGGUUCAAAAGUGAAAGACGGUCUUGCUGUCACUUAUAGAUGGAUCCGCGCUGCAUUAGCUAGUUGGUAAGGUAACGGCUUACCAAGGCAACGAUGCAUAGCCGACCUGAGAGGGUGAUCGGCCACACUGGAACUGAGACACGGUCCAGACUCCUACGGGAGGCAGCAGUAGGGAAUCUUCCGCAAUGGGCGAAAGCCUGACGGAGCAACGCCGCGUGAGUGAUGAAGGUCUUCGGAUCGUAAAACUCUGUUAUUAGGGAAGAACAUAUGUGUAAGUAACUGUGCACAUCUUGACGGUACCUAAUCAGAAAGCCACGGCUAACUACGUG
This 497-nucleotide ribosomal RNA is filed under the name uncultured bacterium. RNAcentral's name for it is "partial 16S ribosomal RNA". It matches the Rfam family "Bacterial small subunit ribosomal RNA", at positions 28 to 507 of the family's 1533-position model. The record is from RNAcentral.